This 160-nucleotide ribosomal RNA is filed under the name uncultured Sphingomonas sp. RNAcentral describes it as "partial 16S ribosomal RNA". It matches the Rfam family "Bacterial small subunit ribosomal RNA", at positions 331 to 507 of the family's 1533-position model. Lineage: Bacteria; Pseudomonadati; Pseudomonadota; Alphaproteobacteria; Sphingomonadales; Sphingomonadaceae. The record is from RNAcentral.
AGUGAUUCCUACGGGAGGCAGCAGUGGGGAAUAUUGGACAAUGGGCGAAAGCCUGAUCUAGCAAUGCCGCGUGAGUGAAGAAGGCCUUAGGGUUGUAAAGCUCUUUUAUCCCGGGAUGAUAAUGACAGUACCGGGAGAAUAAGCUCCGGCUAACUCCGUG